GCCAGACACAGUGGUGCACACCUGUAGUCCCAGCUCCUCAGGAAGCAGAGGCAGGAAGAUCACUUGAGCCCAGGAUUUCUUGGCUGUAGUGUGCUACACUGAUUGGGUGUCUGCACUAAGUUUGGCAUCCAUAUGGUGACCUCCUUGCAAAGGGGACCACCAGGUUGCCUAAAGAGGGGUGAACUGGCCCAGGUCAGAAACAGCAGGUCAGAAUUCCCAUGCUGAUCAGUAGAGGGAUUGUACCUGUGAAUAGCCACUGCACUCCAGCCUGGCUGAUAUAGCAAGUCUCUGUCUCU
Unclassified non-coding RNA from Aotus nancymaae (Ma's night monkey), 296 nucleotides. It matches the Rfam family "Metazoan signal recognition particle RNA". From Rfam's summary of the family: The signal recognition particle (SRP) is a universally conserved ribonucleoprotein. It is involved in the co-translational targeting of proteins to membranes. The record is from Ensembl. Lineage: Eukaryota; Metazoa; Chordata; Mammalia; Primates; Aotidae.